GACGAACGCUGGCGGCGUGGAUUAGGCAUGCAAGUCGUGCGAGAAACCUCCUUCGGGAGGCGGAAAGCGGCGAAAGGGAGAGUAACGCGUGGAAAUCUACCCUCAGAUCUGGGAUAGCAGCGGGAAACUGCUGGUAAUACCGGAUAACGUCUCCGGACCAAAGGUGUGAUUCCGUCUGAGGAUGAGUCCGCGUCCUAUUAGCUUGUUGGUGGGGUAAUGGCCUACCAAGGCUGAGAUGGGUACCGGGUGUGAGAGCAUGGCCCGGCUCACUGGGACUGAGACACUGCCCAGACACCUACGGGUGGCUGCAGUCGAGAAUCUUCGGCAAUGGGCGCAAGCCUGACCGAGCGACGCCGCGUGCGGGAUGAAGGCCUUCGGGUUGUAAACCGCUGUCAGAGGGAAGGAAAUGGCUGGUUUAUACCCAGCUUUGACCGAUCCUCAGAGGAAGUCCGGGCUAAGUUCGUG
RNAcentral lists this ribosomal RNA (465 nucleotides) under uncultured bacterium. RNAcentral describes it as "bacterial SSU rRNA". It matches the Rfam family "Bacterial small subunit ribosomal RNA", at positions 28 to 507 of the family's 1533-position model. The record is from RNAcentral.